Molecule: non-coding RNA, 73 nt
Organism: Stegodyphus mimosarum
Lineage: Eukaryota; Metazoa; Arthropoda; Arachnida; Araneae; Eresidae
Source: Rfam
GCCUUCGUGGUAUAUUAGUCAGCACGUUCGGCGCGUAUUCGAGAGGUCCGUGGUUCGAGUCCUGGCGAGGGCA